Molecule: RNA transcript, 1618 nt
Organism: Chroicocephalus ridibundus (black-headed gull)
Lineage: Eukaryota; Metazoa; Chordata; Aves; Charadriiformes; Laridae
Gene name: butyrophilin subfamily 3 member A2-like
Exons: 29
Source: RefSeq, a predicted model, not a curated record
GAGUGUGAGCGGCGGCGGAGACGGCUGGGCGGCCGGGAGAGGAGCGGCCGGAGCCGGCGGCUGCGCCCGCAGAUGGGGUUCCCCGCCAGCCCCAGCGGCCUCCUGAGUUAUUUCCUGACUCUGCACGUGCUCCGCCUGGGAUCAGCUGAGUUCAGAGUGGUGGGACCAGACCAACCUCUCCUUGCCACCGUGGGGCAGGACGUCGUGCUGCCGUGUCACUUGUCCCCACGCGCGGACGCUCGGAGCUUGGAGAUCAGGUGGAUCCGGUACCGGUUCUCGGAAACGGUGCAUCUCUACCGAAAUGGAGAGGACCUGUAUGGGGCACAGAUGGAGGAAUACAUUGGAAGGACAGAGUUGGUCAGAGAUGGUCUCUCCAAUGGGACCCUGGACUUGCGACUCACUGGGGUGAGACCCUCUGAUGAUGGCCAGUACGUCUGCACUGUGAGAGAUGCUGCCUCUUAUGGAGAAGCUACAGUGGACCUGGAGGUGGCAGCCAUGGGCUCCGUCCCUCUCCUCUCUCUGGAGGCUCACCAGGACGGAGGCAUCCGGGUGGUGUGUGGAUCGGCCGGCUGGUACCCGCAACCGCAGGUGCUGUGGAAGGCUGCCAACGGGCAGCGUCUGCCCUCGGUCUCCCAGAGACGUUCCUCUGACGAGAGGGGCCUGUUUGAGAUCCAAGAUGUCGUCGUGGUGAGCGGGAAGGGCGAUGGGAACUUGUCGUGCGUGGUGAGGAACAGCCGCCUGGAGCAGGAGCAGGCGUCGUCCCUGCACAUCUCAGCUCCCUUUUUCCACAAUGCCCUUCACUGGAUGGCAGCUCUGGGUAGUGUUCUCCUACUUUUAGUGGCAUUAUUUGGCGUCAUCGCUUAUCUCUGGCGAAGGAAAGUGGGGCUGUCCAGAACGCUGGAGGAACAAGCUGCAGCACUGGAGGAACAAGCUGCACUGUUGGGGAAACAAAACGCAGCACUGGAGGAAAAAACUGCACGGCUGGAGGAACAAGCUGCACGGCUGGAGGAAGAAGCUGCACGGUUGGGGAAACGAGACGUGGCACUGGGGAAACGAGACACAGCACUGGAGAAACGAGACGCAGCACUGGGGAAACGAGACGCGGCACUGGGAAAACGAGAAGCAGCACUGGAGGAGCAACUUGCACGUCUGAAGGAACAAGCUGCACGGUUGGAGGAACGAGACGCAGCACUGGAGGAACAAGCUGCACGGCUGGGGAAACGAGACACAGCACUGGAGGAACAACUUGGACGUCUGAAGGAACGAGCUGCACGGCUGGAGGAACAAGCUGCACGGCUGGAGAAACAAGCUGCGCUGUUGGAAUGGAGAAAGUUUUCUGCUUCCUGAAAAUCAAGACGUGGUGACCCUGGACCCAAACACGGCUCAUUCCCAACUUCACCUGUCAGAGGAUUUGAGAACCGUGAAUCGGGAUAUUAAAGAAGACGACCUGCCCGACACCCCGGAGAGAUUUAGUGAUCGUCCCCGCUCCCCAGCAGGAUCUGGGUCUGUCUGGACUGCGCCCGGGGGCUGGUGACUUUCCUCCAUGCCGACACCGGGGUCGAGAUCUUCACGUUCCCACCAGCCUCGUUCAAAGGGGAGACCCUGCGCCCCUGGUUUU